RNAcentral lists this long non-coding RNA (661 nucleotides) under Prunus dulcis (almond). RNAcentral's name for it is "sRNA ncRNA". The record is from RNAcentral. Lineage: Eukaryota; Viridiplantae; Streptophyta; Magnoliopsida; Rosales; Rosaceae.
AUGCCGAAAAGAAAGGCUGAGCAUUCUGGAUGGACAUACAGGAAACGACAAAAGAUUCCAAUCAAUUUGGGUGAUAAGGAAGAGAAUUAUUCAGAGGACGAUCAGAUCAGUCAGCUACCAGAUGCCAUUCUAAUUAGCAUUCUUUCCCUAUUGGGUAUUGGGGAAGCAGCAAGGACUUGUGUCCUCUCUAAGAGGUGGGUCUCUCUGUGGAAACAGAUUACGUGUCUCAACUUCGAUGAUAUAGAUGCAUUAUCCAAACCACAGAAGAAAAGAAAACGAGUGAAAACAACAUCUAGUUACAAUUGGGUGAAUCAAGUCUUGCAAUUGCACCAGGGUCUAUCCUUAGAUGAAUUCCAAAUUCAUUCUUCGUCACCCGAUUCCAGUCCUAGUAGUUCUGAAAUCGACAAUUGGAUUGAAUUUGCAAUGUGGAGGAGAAUUCAAGGCCUUGAGAUAGAUUUGGAAGCAGGCAGACGGUCUCGUUUUUCUUCUCCCAGUUAUACCUUUCCAGAUAAGCCAUUUAGAAGCCCUUUUGGUAUUUCCUGCAUCAAGUCCCUUAAACACCUCUCUUUGUCCUUUGUAAAUAUAACUGGCGAACUUGUUGAACAUUUUCUAUCCUAUUGUGAACUCCUUGAGCAUCUCUGCGUUUCUUGCUCAGAUCAAU